CAAGGAAUCCAGGGCUACUCGGGAUUAAGUGACUUGCCCAAGGCCAUGAGGUCACAGUGAUGCAGUCCAGCACUCUUCCUAUGGCACCCCAGUGUCUCUCAAUAUGGCUGUGCUGUCCGCACAGACGGGCUGAUCCCACCACCCUCCCCAGUUUCUAUCCCUGCUUCUAAAACCUGCAACUUGUCCUGUAAGCCAUCUUAGCACCUGCCUCUGGCUUCUAAGCAAACUUCAGGGCUAGGCUGUCCAUCCCAUCAUAGAUCCUUCUGUCAGUUAAAUCCUAAGUCAUUAAACAAGCAUUUUCCCCUGAGCCUAUAUGUGGUUAUAGCAACUUAAGUAAAAAAUACAUUUGUUCAUGGUGGAAAAGUGGUAUAACCAUAAGACAUAUGUAAUUUGUUGGGAAACAGCCUCUCUAUUCUUACUUUCAAAUGUCACAGUGAAUACUUGAAACUAAACUAUGCCGCUGGAAAGCUGGAGUUAAGAAUUUACUUGGAAACCUUAAACAUGGGUAAUUUUGGUUAGUAGCCAUUCUGUGACUUUGCUUAGACAUGACAGGUUAAGGGCUGUAGGGCCCAAGGCAGAGUUGACAGACACAAGCCCUCUCUCACCUCCUCAUCUGCAUAGGAAGGAUAAAUCCCUGUCCUGUAGGCUCCCAAUGGUCCUGCCCACAGGGUAAUUGCAGAGAAGAUAUUCUCUGAUGAGAUCAACCCAUGCAAGGCAGAACUACCAAUAUCUGUACUGCCAGAGAGACUCCCCUUAUUCCACAGUGAAUCUGAGCAGUACUAGACUCUCUCUUUACCUCUGACCAAAUACAGAUUGCAGUUCAAUUUGGAUCUGGAAAAACUGGUGGUGUAGUGGAAAGAACAAGUCUGUGGAGAUCCUGAGUUUCAACCCUGGUUAAUAAAUUCUACUAAACAUAUUUGGUUAGUGAUCUCGGGCAAAUUACUUAACUUCUUUGGGUCUCAGUCUCCACAUUAAUGCUGCUGCAGCGAGGGGCGAUGAUUCUGAAGCUUCAUAUCUUCAGAACGGUAGAUGCUAAGCACUGAAUGGUGCCUUUCAUGAACAUGGCUUUACCUUGGCUUCAAAACAACCCUAUGAGUCCCCAGGUGUGGUUUCGAGAAGAGGCUUCAGGAAGGGAAAGCUGACCAGGGAGAUGGUUUCUGAAAGGAUGUGUCUUUCUGGACCAGAGGAAACAAGCCACAAGCUGGGUGGAAGACAAGCCAUACGCCUGCUGUAGAAAUAUUCCUGCUCCAUGUUUCCUUUUUGCCCUCUGGACUGAGUCCUUUUGACGAAAGAACACUCAGAACCUGCUGAGCUUUGGGCUGGCACUGGGAUUCACUCACUCUCAGGUGAGCAAGGGAAAUCACCUGUGGGAUUCCCAUAUGUAAAACACACCUCAAAUUGGAGCCACCUGCGUGAAGGAGGUUUCAUGAACACCGAAAACACCAGCCUUUGGCUUUUCCUCAGUGAGAGCCCACAGCGCCUCCUUGUGGACUAUCUGAUAAACUGGAACCAGUUCUCGCAGGGCUGAAGGACGGUGGUCACCUAGAGGCAUUGCCCAGGAUCUGCACUGCGCUGUCCACCCAGGAAUUACUCUGUUUUCUUCUACUUUUAAAUAAAUUUGGGAGAUGGGCUGGGUGUGGUGGCUCACACCUGUAAUUUCAGCGUUUUGGAAGACCGAGGCGGGAGGACGGCGUGGGACCAGGAGUUCAUGACUGGCCUGGGCAACACAGUGAGACCCUGUCUCUAUUUUAAACAACGACAACAACAUAUUUAAAAAAUAAAAAUAAGAAAAUAAAUUUGGAAGAUGAACACAUUCUAUUUUAAUUCUGUUAGUGAUCAGUAAAACUGGCUUAAAAGCUGAGUUUCCUUUGGUUCCCUUUUGUUUUAUAAAAAAUGUCUGUGUGUACCUUUGUCAACAGCCUGAAUCCUAUGAAUCACAGGUUCCCCUGGGGAAGAUGGGGGUUUGAGUUUGGUUUCUUACUUGUGUUUAUAGGGUUCUGGGCAACUUGGGAGGGCGAGACACUAUGCCCUCAUGGGAUAACACUAAUU
This 2049-nucleotide long non-coding RNA is filed under the name Homo sapiens (human). RNAcentral's name for it is "HSALNT0153855". Lineage: Eukaryota; Metazoa; Chordata; Mammalia; Primates; Hominidae. The record is from RNAcentral.